UACCUACUCCCUCCGUCCCAAAAUUCUUGUCUUAGAUUUAUCUAUAUAUGAAUGUAUCUAGUCAUGUUUUAGUAUUUAGAUACAUUCAUUUCUAGACAAACCUAAGACAAUUUUUUUGGGACGGAGGGAGUAUAUA
Molecule: non-coding RNA, 136 nt
Organism: Hordeum vulgare subsp. vulgare (domesticated barley)
Lineage: Eukaryota; Viridiplantae; Streptophyta; Magnoliopsida; Poales; Poaceae
Source: Rfam